CAGGGAUUGCCCUAGGUAACGGCGAGUGAAGCGGCAACAGCUCAAAUUUGAAAGCUGGCUCCGGCCCGCAUUGUAAUUUGCAGAGGAUGCUUUUGGCGAGGUGCCUUCCGAGUUCCCUGGAACGGGACGCCAUAGAGGGUGAGAGCCCCGUAUGGAUGGACACCAAACCUGUGUAAAGCUCCUUCAACGAGUCGAGUAGUUUGGGAAUGCUGCUCUAAAUGGGAGGUAAAUCUCUUCUAAAGCUAAAUACCGGCCAGAGACCGAUAGCGCACAAGUAGAGUGAUCGAAAGAUGAAAAGCACCUUGAAAAGGGGGUUAAACAGUACGUGAAAUUGUUGAAAGGGAAGCAUUUAUGACCAGACUUGCGCCGGGCAGCUCAUCAGGGGUUCUCCCCUGUGCACUCUGCCCGGCUCAGGCCAGCAUCGGUUCUCGUGGGAGGAUAAGAACAGUGGGAACGUGGCCCCCCUCCGGGGGGGUGUUAUAGCCCAUUGUACGAUACUCUCGUGGGGACCGAGGUUCGCGCUCCGCAAGGAUGCUGGCGUAAUGGUCAUCAAUGACCCGUCUUGAAACACGGACCAAGGAGUCGUCCAUUAGAGCGAGCGUUUGGGUGUAAAACCCGCACGCGUAAUGAAAGUGAACGCAGGUGAGAGCUUCGGCGCAUCAUCGACCGAUCCUGAUGUCUUCGGAUGGAUUUGAGUAAGAGUUUUAACGGRCGGACCCGAAAGACAGUGAACUAUGCUUGUAUAGGGUGAAGCCAGAGGAAACUCUGGUGGAGGCUCGCAGCGGUUCUGACGUGCAAAUCGAUCGUCAAAUAUGAGCAUGGGGGCGAAAGACUAAU
Molecule: ribosomal RNA, 837 nt
Filed under: Leucostoma sp. (in: ascomycete fungi)
Lineage: Eukaryota; Fungi; Ascomycota; Sordariomycetes; Diaporthales; Cytosporaceae
Description: Leucostoma sp. (in: Fungi) partial large subunit ribosomal RNA
Source: RNAcentral